This is a small nucleolar RNA of Tachyglossus aculeatus (Australian echidna), 138 nucleotides long. Lineage: Eukaryota; Metazoa; Chordata; Mammalia; Monotremata; Tachyglossidae. The record is from RefSeq and is a predicted model, not a curated record.
AAUCUCUCAGGGUUGCACCUGGAGAGUUUCCAGUAUGCUUCCAGUCUUGGCUAUGGGAGGGAGAGUCAAGCAGAGGCAUACCCAUUCCAUUCCUAGUUUGGGCAGUGGUUAGCAAGUGGAAGGCAAUCUGCUACCAGU